CCUACGGGUGGCAGCAGUCGAGAAUCAUUCACAAUGGGGGAAACCCUGAUGGUGCGACGCCGCGUGGGGGAAUGAAGGUCUUCGGAUUGUAAACCCCUGUCAUGUGGGAGCAAAUAAAAAAGAUAGUACCACAAGAGGAAGAGACGGCUAACUCUAGGCCAGCAGCCGCGGGAAUACAGAGGUCUCAAGCGUUGUUCGGAACCACUGGGUGUAAAGCGUGCGUAGGCUGUUGCGUAAGUCGUGAGUGAAAGGCGCAGGCUCAACCCGCGGACGGCACAUGAUACUGCGAGACUAGAGUAAGGGAGGGGUAACAGGAAUUCCCGGUGUAGCAGUGAAAUGCGUAGAUAUCGGGAGGAACACUCGUGGCGAAGGCGUGUUCCUGGACAUUAACUGACGCUGAGGCACGAAGGCCAGGGGAGCGAAAGGGAUUAGAUACCCCGGUAGUC
RNAcentral lists this ribosomal RNA (446 nucleotides) under uncultured bacterium. RNAcentral's name for it is "partial 16S ribosomal RNA". It matches the Rfam family "Bacterial small subunit ribosomal RNA", at positions 338 to 795 of the family's 1533-position model. The record is from RNAcentral.